UAUCCUGUCUGAAUAUGGGGGGACCAUCCUCCAAGGCUAAAUACUCCUGACUGACCGAUAGUGAACCAGUACCGUGAGGGAAAGGCGAAAAGAACCCCGGCGAGGGGAGUGAAAAAGAACCUGAAACCGUGUACGUACAAGCAGUGGGAGCACCCUUUGGGGUGUGACUGCGUACCUUUUGUAUAAUGGGUCAGCGACUUAUAUUCUGUAGCAAGGUUAACCGAAUAGGGGAGCCGGAGGGAAACCGAGUCUUAAUUGGGCGUUAAGUUGCAGGGUAUAGACCCGAAACCCGGUGAUCUAGCCAUGGGCAGGUUGAAGGUUGGGUAACACUAACUGGAGGACCGAACCGACUAAUGUUGAAAAAUUAGCGGAUGACCUGUGGCUGGGGGUGAAAGGCCAAUCAAACCGGGAGAUAGCUGGUUCUCCCCGAAAGCUAUUUAGGUAGCGCCUCGUGAAUUCAUCUCCGGGGGUAGAGCACUGUUUCGGCUAGGGGGCCAUCCCGGCUUACCAACCCGAUGCAAACUGCGAAUACCGGAGAAUGUUAUCACGGGAGACACACGGCGGGUGCUAACGUCCGUCGUGAAGAGGGAAACAACCCAGACCGCCAGCUAAGGUCCCAAAGUCAUGGUUAAGUGGGAAACGAUGUGGGAAGGCCCAGACAGCCAGGAUGUUGGCUUAGAAGCAGCCAUCAUUUAAAGAAAGCGUAAUAGCUCACUGGUCGAGUCGGCCUGCGCGGAAGAUGUAACGGGGCUAAACCAUGCACCGAAGCUGCGGCAGCGACGCUGAUGCGUUGUUGGGUAGGGGAGCGUUCUGUAAGCCUGUGAAGGUGGCCUGUGAGGGUUGCUGGAGGUAUCAGAAGUGCGAAUGCUGACAUAAGUAACGAUAAAGCGGGUGAAAAGCCCGCUCGCCGGAAGACCAAGGGUUCCUGUCCAACGUUAAUCGGGGCAGGGUGAGUCGACCCCUAAGGCGAGGCCGAAAGGCGUAGUCGAUGGGAAACGGGUUAAUAUUCCCGUACUUGGUGUUACUGCGAAGGGGGGACGGAGAAGGCUAUGUUGGCCGGGCGACGGUUGUCCCGGUUUAAGCGUGUAGGCUGGUUUUCCAGGCAAAUCCGGAAAAUCAAGGCUGAGGCGUGA
This 1133-nucleotide ribosomal RNA is filed under the name Salmonella enterica. RNAcentral's name for it is "partial 23S ribosomal RNA". It matches the Rfam family "Bacterial large subunit ribosomal RNA", at positions 430 to 1566 of the family's 2925-position model. Lineage: Bacteria; Pseudomonadati; Pseudomonadota; Gammaproteobacteria; Enterobacterales; Enterobacteriaceae. The record is from RNAcentral.